This 29-nucleotide non-coding RNA is filed under the name Puma concolor (puma). Lineage: Eukaryota; Metazoa; Chordata; Mammalia; Carnivora; Felidae. The record is from RNAcentral. RNAcentral also lists the same sequence under 3 other names.
AAAAAUUGGUGCAACUCCAAAUAAAAGUA